CAAGCUAUACUUGCAGGGAUCAUUUCUAGAGUUUCUGACUGAGGAAUGUGUUUAUAAAGGUUGUUUGGUCUCGAUGAUCACGAUGAUCUAAUCGUGAUUUCAUUUCUGAGCGUGGGAACCAAUUAGAAGAGUAAUGAUUCAUCAUAUGCUUCUCAGUCACAUGAUGAUUGUACUUUUACAUCUUUAUUGGAUUGUUCGAGGGAACGGAAAUAUGAUCAGAGAAGA
This is a small nucleolar RNA of Etheostoma spectabile (orangethroat darter), 225 nucleotides long. RefSeq annotates it as small nucleolar RNA U3. NCBI's taxonomy places the organism in Eukaryota, Metazoa, Chordata, Actinopteri, Perciformes, Percidae. The transcript has a single exon. The record is from RefSeq and is a predicted model, not a curated record.